UACGUAGGCAGCGAGCGUUGUUCGGAAUUACUGGGCGUAAAGAGUGUGUAGGCGGUGCUCUAAGUUCGGUGUGAAAUCUCUCGGCUUAACUGGGAGGGUGCGCCGGAAACUGGAGUGCUCGAACGUGGGAGAGGAAAGCGGAAUUCCCGGUGUAGCGGUGAAAUGCGUAGAUAUCAGGAGGAACACCUGCGGUGUAGACGGCUUUCUGGACCAUUGUUGACGCUGAGACACGAAAGCGUGGGUAGCAAACAGG
This 253-nucleotide ribosomal RNA is filed under the name uncultured bacterium. RNAcentral's name for it is "partial 16S ribosomal RNA". It matches the Rfam family "Bacterial small subunit ribosomal RNA", at positions 524 to 776 of the family's 1533-position model. The record is from RNAcentral.